GCUUGACUGUACCUUGGAAUUGGGUCGGGCUUUUCUUGCGCAGACAUACGGUGGGAGGCUAUGAAGAUUUUCUUCUGGGAAAGUUGGAGCCAACAGUGAGAGACCACUCUGAAAAGGCUAGAAUCCUAAUGGUGAUCCUUGAAUCAGGACACUUGACAGUUUCAGGUGGGCAGUUUUUCUGGGCGGAAGCCUCAUAAAAGGUAACUGAGGCGCGCAAAGGUCCCCUCAGUCUGGACGGAAAUCAGACAUUGAGUGUAAAGGCAAAAGGGGGCUUGACUGCAAGACCCACAAGUCGAGCAGCGGGCGAAAGCUGGCCUUAGUGAUCCGACGGUGCGUGUGGAAGGGCCGUCGCUCAACGAAUAAAAGUUA
RNAcentral lists this ribosomal RNA (369 nucleotides) under uncultured alga. Its description in RNAcentral is "bacterial LSU rRNA". It matches the Rfam family "Bacterial large subunit ribosomal RNA", at positions 2098 to 2465 of the family's 2925-position model. The record is from RNAcentral.